GAUGAACGCUGGCGGCGUGCCUAAUACAUGCAAGUCGAGCGAACAGACGAGGAGCUUGCUCCUCUGACGUUAGCGGCGGACGGGUGAGUAACACGUGGAUAACCUACCUAUAAGACUGGGAUAACUUCGGGAAACCGGAGCUAAUACCGGAUAAUAUAUUGAACCGCAUGGUUCAAUAGUGAAAGACGGUUUUGCUGUCACUUAUAGAUGGAUCCGCGCCGCAUUAGCUAGUUGGUAAGGUAACGGCUUACCAAGGCAACGAUGCGUAGCCGACCUGAGAGGGUGAUCAGCCACACUGGAACUGAGACACGGUCCAGACUCCUACGGGAGGCAGCAGUAGGGAAUCUUGCGCAAUGGGCGAAAGCCUGACGGAGCAACGCCGCGUGAGUGAUGAAGGUCUUCGGAUCGUGAAACUCUGUUAUUAGGGAAGAACAAAUGUGUAAGUAACUAUGCACGUCUUGACGGUACCUAAUCAGAAAGCCACGGCUAACUACGUG
This 497-nucleotide ribosomal RNA is filed under the name uncultured bacterium. RNAcentral's name for it is "partial 16S ribosomal RNA". It matches the Rfam family "Bacterial small subunit ribosomal RNA", at positions 28 to 507 of the family's 1533-position model. The record is from RNAcentral.